CAAUGGCGGCUCUUACCAUGCAGUCGACGAAUCCUUUCUUCGGAUGGGGUUAGUGGCAGACGGGUGCGUAACACGUAGGUGACCUGCCCUAAAGUGGGGAAUAACUAUCCUAACGGAUAGCUAGUACCGCAUAUGCUCGGUGGUUCGUUCUGCCGAGUAAAGCUCGUAAGGGCGCUUUAGGAUGGGCCUGCGGCGGAUUAGCUAGUUGGUGGGGUAAUGGCCUACCAAGGCGAUGAUCCGUAGGGGGCGUGAGAGCGUGGCCCCCCACACUGGCACUGAGAUACGGGCCAGACUCCUACGGGAGGCAGCAGUGAGGAAUAUUGCACAAUGGGCGAAAGCCUGAUGCAGCAACGCCGCGUGAGGGACGAAGGCCUUCGGGUUGUAAACCUCUUUUCUGAGAGACGAGACAAGGACGGUACCUCAGGAAUAAGUCUCGGCUAACUACGUGCCAGCAGCCGCGGUAAGACGUAGGAGGCGAGCGUUAUCCGGAUUUACUGGGCGUAAAGCGCACGCAGGCGGCUUCGUUAGUCGGAUGUGAAAGCUCCUGGCUUAACCGGGAGAGGCCAUUCGAUACUGCGAGGCUUGAGGUUGGGAGAGGGGUGUGGAAUUCCCGGUGUAGUGGUGGAAUGCGUACAUAUCGGGAGGAACACCUGUGGCGAAAGCGGCACCCUGGCCCACACCUGACGCUGAGGUGCGAAAGCGUGGGUAGCAAACAGGAUUAGAUACCCUGGUAGUCCACGCCGUAAACGAUGUCAACUGGGUGUCGGUGGUUUUACACUAUCGGUGCCGAAGCAAACGCGUUAAGUUGACCGCCUGGGGACUACGGCCGCAACGCUAAGACUCAAAGGAAUUGACGG
Molecule: ribosomal RNA, 857 nt
Filed under: uncultured Chloroflexota bacterium
Lineage: Bacteria; Bacillati; Chloroflexota
Description: bacterial SSU rRNA
Rfam family: Bacterial small subunit ribosomal RNA
Source: RNAcentral